UGCAAAUGAGGUAGAAGGAGGCUUCCAAGGAGCCUGUAGAGACUCUGCCUCAGCUACAAACUGGCAGGAAGCAGUGAAAGGAGCUGGAACCUCCAGGGAGAAAGUACUGGGAGCAGUUCCUCUGCAAAAGGGGCCUGGAGGCAGAUGCAGAACCCCAAAGGAAGGACUUUCGAUAGUUUUAUGUCUGCAGCAACCUGCGUCAUACCCAGAUGAAUUCAGCAACAGAUAAGUUCCUCUUCUGCCUGAAACUUUACUCAGAUUUUGACUGUUGAAUCUGCAUUCCCAGACACAAGAAUAUUGUCUUUCAGUUCCAUUCCACUUGUUAAUGACUGGUGGCCCGUUAAUGUGUGAAUGCAGUUUCCCGUCUCCACAUCCCAAACUCGGAUUGAAGUGUCAAGAGAUCCACUCACUACAUGGAUGCCAUCAAACUAAAAAAAGGUUAUCCUCAGCCAGAAUUCUCCAAUAACGGCAUGUCUGUGCUGCCUGUAGAAGGUCCUUGGGUUCCAGGAAUGAAAGCACAUAUAGUGCCAACUGUAAAGAGACUCCUGAACAUCAGUCCUGGACAAGCAACAGAAGACGUCUAAAACAAAAUCAAGGACAUCAGUCCUCAGUUUCUGGAGCUAUCCAGGAUGCUACGGACACUGCUCCUCUGCUGACAGAAGUAACACACAUCCAUUCAAUCACUAAAAAUGAAAAACAGAGCGAUAAACACAGGGUCCAAGCAGCAAAUCCACAUCAGUAGCCAAUAGAUCACUGCAGAAAAAAGUUUUGAGAAAAAAAAAUUGGAUAGGAAUGGCUAACAGAAAAACUAUUUGUGAUCAGAAACAGUAGCUAUUGACAAGUGUCCAAUAUGAGGCAGAAUAAUCUUCUCAUUUGUCAUGGAGGUCAGGUUAUCUGCCCUGACCUCUAGUAUGUGUCUUUGUGUUUGUUGGCAUUGUUUUAUUUACAUUUAAUAAAAAACAAAAAAUGAAGUUGACCCACCCACAACCUGCCUUCCAAACAAAACAAAAACACCCAAAAAGGAAGAAAUAACAGUAGUUACUGAAGUUUGGAAAUGUUGAUCUUAUUACGUGAAUUACA
Mauremys reevesii (Reeves's turtle) is the source of this 1080-nucleotide long non-coding RNA. RefSeq lists it as uncharacterized. The record is from RefSeq and is a predicted model, not a curated record. NCBI's taxonomy places the organism in Eukaryota, Metazoa, Chordata, Testudines, Geoemydidae. The transcript is spliced from 5 exons.